CUUUGGCUCACUGGGAAGCAUCCCAGGGCUCACCACACAACGCUCCUGUGCUGGGAUCAGCAGAGCUGCUCCCAGGGAUGGUCCAGAAGGGUUUGGGAAUGGUUCCUCAAGCCUGACCCUCCUUCCCCUGGGAUCUGGAGCUGGGACAGCACGGCUGGGAUCCAUCCCACCACUGUAGCUGUGUGUGACUGGAGCCACUGGUGAGCGGAGCCAGACCGUGCCGGGGUGGAAGAUGGGGGACAGAAGCACCAGGCAAGGGAAGGGACACAGCCUGCCUCAUCUUCCAAAAAUGCCUCCAAGGGAAAGGCUGUGGAGCCAGCCCUCAGGCAAGGAAAUGUCCUCAGAGCCCUUCAUGCUCCUGAGCAGCAUGGUGAAUCGGGACACCUGGUUGGUGAAUCGAGAUUUGGUUGGCGAGUUGGGACUUCUGGCCGUUGAGGACUCAGCCAGCGAUGGGCACUCUCAGCUCCAGGCAGCCGGAGCUUGUCAAGGGAAGAAAGGCUCCUUGUCUCGGGGUCGUGGCUCCGGUCCUGUUGUGUGUCUGCGAGAGAAAAGAGGACGGCCGAGAGAGGAGGACAGGCCCACUGCCGAUGCCAGCUCCCUUCCCGCAGCCCCUGCCAGCCCUUGCUGGCCACAAUGGGCCCAUCUCCCCUCCCAGCAAACCAGCCAAGCAUUGAAAUUUAAUAGCUCUGGCCUCUCUGCAUCCCAGUGAUUAGGCCUGUGAUUAAAGCCCGUGCGUUGCUUUGCUUGCUGGGAGGCAAAUUCCUCCGCAGGGCCCGUGAAAUCGGCUUCGAGCACGGUGCCCGCUCCUCGCCCUCUCCCGUGUCCGGCCAGGCACUGAUGGGAGCCCUCGGAUAACCCCGUCCAUCCCUGCAAACCUCGCUCCUCCCUCCGCUGGGAAGGACAGAGGGGAUGGGAGCCCGCGGGCUGGGGCCGGGCUGGUGGCCCCGGGGCAAACGGAGGCACAGCGAGGGACGCUGACCCCAGAGCCAGAGGGGCUCACGGCCGGCUGGAGGGGGCAGGAACGGAGGCUGUGCCCUCCCGGGGAAACAGGAGCGCGCCGGGAAGAGCUCCGUGCUGGAAGGGCAUGGCAAAGAGCAAACCCCGCCGGUGCAGGGUGACAGAAAUGCUGCAACCAGGGGGAAGAUCCUGAGGAUUCCACACCGGGAGCCCGGAGCGCUGGCACGUGGAUGAAUCCCUCUCCAGAAGAAAUCCUGCUGGAAGCAAGACGGAGCCGCGGCCGGAGGGGAGGGUGCUGGGAGUGCUGGGGGUCCCUGGGGAGAGAUCCCUGCGCCAUGCUCGACCCCAGGGGAUGGCGGCAGGGCCGGCCUGACCUUGCCAGAGCCACUGGGACAGUGGCACCGGUUCUUCUCCACGCAGAUGGAAACUGGGAGCUGGGGGGUGAUAACCCUGGGGCGUUUCAUCCCAAAUCCCACCGACACCCUGGGCAGCUCCGUUGAAGGAGCCUGUUGGAGCAGGAGUGGCUGGGAGCCAUCACCCCGUGUGCAGCCACGUUGUCUGGAGGGGCCUGAUGGGGACAGGGAUGGAGCAAACCCUGGCACAGCCCAGGCACCUCCACCAGACAUCCCAGGGUGUCCCAUCUGCUCCCAGGCGUGUCCAGGGUGGCAGGAUGUGCUGCACCCCUGGCCUGGCACAGGCAGGAAGGUGCCUGGAGAGGGUGACAAGGGGGGACCACGCACCCACCACCCCCGGGUGACGCUCAGAUGGGACCCUGUGGAAGCAGGGGCUGAAUCUCUGUCAGGAGACAUGAACGUCCAUGCUGGGAGAUCGCAGGCACCGGCAAGAGGCUUAACUU
Long non-coding RNA from Vidua macroura (Pin-tailed whydah), 1813 nucleotides. RefSeq lists it as uncharacterized. The transcript has 5 exons. NCBI's taxonomy places the organism in Eukaryota, Metazoa, Chordata, Aves, Passeriformes, Viduidae. The record is from RefSeq and is a predicted model, not a curated record.